Molecule: ribosomal RNA, 483 nt
Filed under: Leifsonia shinshuensis
Lineage: Bacteria; Bacillati; Actinomycetota; Actinomycetes; Micrococcales; Microbacteriaceae
Description: bacterial SSU rRNA
Rfam family: Bacterial small subunit ribosomal RNA
Source: RNAcentral
GGCGAACGGGUGAGUAACACGUGAGUAACCUGCCCUUGACUCUGGGAUAACCUCCGGAAACGGAAGCUAAUACCGGAUAUGACGUACGGAGGCAUCUCCUGUACGUGGAAAGAACUUCGGUCAAGGAUGGACUCGCGGCCUAUCAGGUAGUUGGUGAGGUAACGGCUCACCAAGCCUACGACGGGUAGCCGGCCUGAGAGGGUGACCGGCCACACUGGGACUGAGACACGGCCCAGACUCCUACGGGAGGCAGCAGUGGGGAAUAUUGCACAAUGGGCGCAAGCCUGAUGCAGCAACGCCGCGUGAGGGACGACGGCCUUCGGGUUGUAAACCUCUUUUAGUAGGGAAGAAGCGAAAGUGACGGUACCUGCAGAAAAAGCACCGGCUAACUACGUGCCAGCAGCCGCGGUAAUACGUAGGGUGCGAGCGUUGUCCGGAAUUAUUGGGCGUAAAGAGCUCGUAGGCGGUCUGUCGCGUCUGCUG